AGAUUGAACGCUGGCGGCAUGCCUUACACAUGCAAGUCGAACGGCAGCACGGGAGCAAUCCUGGUGGCGAGUGGCGAACGGGUGAGUAAUACAUCGGAACGUGCCCAAUCGUGGGGGAUAACGCAGCGAAAGCUGUGCUAAUACCGCAUAAGAUCUACGGAUGAAAGCAGGGGAUCGCAAGACCUUGCGCGAAUGGAGCGGCCGAUGGCAGAUUAGGUAGUUGGUGAGGUAAAGGCUCACAAGCCUUCGAUCGGUAGCUGGUCUGAGAGGACGACAGCACACGUGGACUGAGACACGGCCCAGACGUCCGUACGGAGGCAGCGAGGUAGGGAAUUUUGGACAAGUGGGUACGAAAGCCGUAGACGUACAGCCAUACGCCGGCGUGCGAGGAGUAGAACGGUCCUUCGGUUAGUAACCGU
This 419-nucleotide ribosomal RNA is filed under the name uncultured soil bacterium. RNAcentral describes it as "bacterial SSU rRNA". It matches the Rfam family "Bacterial small subunit ribosomal RNA", at positions 26 to 433 of the family's 1533-position model. The record is from RNAcentral.